CGCACGGGUGCGUAACGCGUGGGAAUCUGCCCUCUGGUACGGAAUAACUCAGGGAAACUUGAGCUAAUACCGUAUAAUGACUUCGGUCCAAAGAUUUAUCGCCUGAGGAUGAGCCCGCGUCGGAUUAGCUAGUUGGUGAGGUAAAAGCUCACCAAGGCGACGAUCCGUAGCUGGUCUGAGAGGAUGAUCAGCCACACUGGGACUGAGACACGGCCCAG
This 218-nucleotide ribosomal RNA is filed under the name uncultured bacterium. RNAcentral's name for it is "partial 16S ribosomal RNA". It matches the Rfam family "Bacterial small subunit ribosomal RNA", at positions 99 to 334 of the family's 1533-position model. The record is from RNAcentral.